UUAAAGCCAGUAGCCACCAUCUUCUCCACAUCGCACCGCCGCCCCAUCAGCAAACCCAACCGCACUAGCCCACCCCAAAUUCAAGCCCUAUCACCAUCGCAAUCCACUCUCAAACAUCGACGCCCAACUUCAAAAACAAGCAAGAAUCAAGAGGCAUAUAAUCCAGAUCUGCCACCUCUCAAUCUCUCUCUUUUUUACUUUUCUUCACAAACUCUCAAUCUCCUCUUUUGGACUAUGGCGAGGGGGCCUAUGUUGUUGAGUUGUGAGGAUGGGUCACCUGUGAUGGGAAAUUGAGAUGAAGAGGAAGGGAUGGUGCUGCCUCUUCUCUCCUAUUCCGCUCCCCCUUCUCCCUUAGUUGACAUGUUAAUCUCCUAAAAGAAGAUAGCAUACGUAUGAGGUUUUUUCCUUUUGGUUUCUGGGUAUUCAUGGGUUUUGAUCCAUUUGUUGUGUGGCGAAUUGGUUGUGUAUUGGGGUAUGGGCUGUGAAUGAUUGGAUCUAGUGGGGGGAUGGUGGUUGCAAGGUUUGUAGGGGAAAGUGUGGCAGAUUGGUGCGCGCUGGGGUGUGGUCUACCAUGGGCGGGUUGAGGGUGGGGAUGAAAUUCAACUUCAGGGUGAUGUGGGCAGCUUGGGAAAGAUUAGGGGAGAUGGUGGCUAUAGGGAAGAAGGUCGGGGUUGUGAUGCCAUUUUUUUCCGUACUAAUACUUUAAUUUUUUAAAAUUUUGUUUCUUUUUUCUUUUAGAUUUUUGAAUUUUUAUUGUUGUGGCCUUUACCACAAUGACCCUGCCAUGUUAGUUUUUCCGACGGUCUUUUGGAUGACGUUAACGGUGGAGGGGUAAG
RNAcentral lists this long non-coding RNA (836 nucleotides) under Prunus dulcis (almond). Its description in RNAcentral is "sRNA ncRNA". The record is from RNAcentral. Lineage: Eukaryota; Viridiplantae; Streptophyta; Magnoliopsida; Rosales; Rosaceae.